Esox lucius (northern pike) is the source of this 1456-nucleotide long non-coding RNA. The record is from Ensembl. Lineage: Eukaryota; Metazoa; Chordata; Actinopteri; Esociformes; Esocidae.
GAGUCUGUACAUAGUCAAGACCAUGAUCACUGAGUCUGUACAUAGUCAAGACCAUGAUCAUUGAGUCUGUACAUAGUCAAGACCAUGAUCACUGAGUCUGUACAUAGUCAAGACCAUGAUCACUGAGUCUGUACAUAGUCAAGACCAUGAUCACUGAGUCUGUACAUAGUCAAGACCAUGAUCACUGAGUCUGUACAUAGUCAAGGUUGUGAUCACUGAGUCUGUACAUAGUCAAGGUUGUGAUCACUGAGUCUGUACAUAGUCAAGGUUGUGAUCACUGAGUCUGUACAUAGUCAAGGUUGUGAUCACUGAGUCUGUACAUAGUCAAGGUUGUGAUCACUGAGUCUGUACAUUGUCAAGGUUGUGUUCACUGAGUCUGUACAUUGUCAAGAUUGUGAUCACUGAGUCAGUACAUUGUCAAGGUUGUGAUCACUGAGUCAGUACAUUGUCAAGGUUGUGAUCACUGAGUCAGUACAUUGUCAAGGUUGUGAUCACUGAGUCUGUACAUAGUCAAGGUUGUGCUCACUGAGUCGGUACAAGGUCUGGUUUUCUUUCAUUUUGUCAGUACUCUCUGUUUAGGACCAAGAAAGCAUUGUAAUUAGUUGUGUUUUUUGGUUGUUUAUUUUAAAGAUUUGUCUGGGUCAUAUGGUGUUUCAGUCCUAGGGCUGUAUGGGGUCUGUUUGAAUUUGUGUGUUCACUAUCUCUCGUUCUCUCUAUUUCAGGCUGGUUUUCUCUCUUUCUCUUUGUCACCUCAUCUACACGCUUAGCACCAGUGUUACCACUCAGUCAAAAUCAACCCUCUGAUUAUUGACAUAAUCACUUUAUAUAAUCUGAUACAUUUACAAAAUAGUUGCAAUCCUCCUUUUUGUCCCUUAGGCUGACCUUUAGGCUGACCCUUUGGGUGACCUUUUUGCUGUCUCUUUGGCUGACCUUUUGGCUGACCCUUCAACUGACCUUUUGACUGACUUACAUUUAUGUGUGUGUGUGUGUGUGUGUGUAUAUAGAGUAUAUGUGUAUGUGUGUGUGUGUAUAUAGAGUAUAUAUGUGUGUGUAUAGAGUAUAUGUGUAUGUGUGUGUAUAUAUAGAGUAUAUGUGUGUGUUCUCUCCCAUCCCCUGGACAAUAGAAGUGCAUGUCAACCUACAUCAGGAUAAUUCAUAUCAGGAACAAACUAACGUCUGGAGACACAAAGGAAGAAAACUCUUGUCUUUGUCCUCCUCUCCUGUUCAUUCUUCUCUCUUUUCUCUUUUCAUCUCCCUCUUCUUAUUCAUCCAUCUCUUCUCCCCCUUUAUUCAUCCAUCUCUUCUCUCCCCUUUAUUCAUCCAUCUCUUCUCUCCCCUGUAUUCAUCCAUCUCUUCUCCCCCUUUAUUCAUCCAUCUCUUCUCCUCCUUUAUUCAUCCAUCUCUUCUCUCUCCUUUAUUCAUCCAUCUCUUCUCCCCCUUUAUUCAUCCACCUCUU